GGGGAAAGGAUAUCAUGAUACCAGGAUAACAUGCUUCUCAUCUAUCUGAAGAAGAGAACUUUAAACCGGAGACUGGUGUUUAAAAACCAAGGAAUUCCCAGGUAUGAAAAAAUUUACCCACAUACCCUGAGGCAUGCGAACAGCCAUUCACUUAUCCUCAGGUAUGCAAAGGUGUACCAACCUCAUGCGUGCAAACAUAUACCAACUAAUGCAAAUACAUACAACCAUG
Pelobates cultripes (western spadefoot toad) is the source of this 229-nucleotide non-coding RNA. The record is from the annotation of a GenBank genome assembly. NCBI's taxonomy places the organism in Eukaryota, Metazoa, Chordata, Amphibia, Anura, Pelobatidae.